GGCAUAUCAAUGAAACAACAUGAGGAGAUGAGUGUGUUCUCAGUAGUGGAUGUGUAUUUUGAAGAUGUACAGGAUGUGCCCAGAACUGAAUGACUUAUUAUCGAACCUUUGGCUAUGGUUAUGAUGAACUAUGAUAGUGAAGGCAUUGAAGAGUAUGAAGAGACAGUUUGUGCCUUGGCUGGCAUAGGGUCAUAUCCUUAUGCUCCU
RNAcentral lists this long non-coding RNA (207 nucleotides) under Capsicum annuum. Its description in RNAcentral is "long non-coding RNA (CANN_LNC017474)". The record is from RNAcentral. Lineage: Eukaryota; Viridiplantae; Streptophyta; Magnoliopsida; Solanales; Solanaceae.